UGGCCACAUCACAUUGAAACACCAGUUCCUGUAUGAUCACUGAAGCUAAGCAACGUUGAACCUGGUCAUUACCUAGAUUGGUGACCGCUUGGGAAUAUCAGCUGCUGUAAG
Molecule: non-coding RNA, 111 nt
Organism: Acanthosepion pharaonis
Lineage: Eukaryota; Metazoa; Mollusca; Cephalopoda; Sepiida; Sepiidae
Source: the annotation of a GenBank genome assembly